GAUGAACGCUGGCGGCGUGCUUAACACAUGCAAGUCGAACGAAGCACCUUGAUUUGAUUCUUCGGAUGAAGAUCUUGGUGACUGAGUGGCGGACGGGUGAGUAACGCGUGGGUAACCUGCCUCAUACAGGGGGAUAACAGUUAGAAAUGACUGCUAAUACCGCAUAAGACCACAGUACCGCAUGGUACAGGGGUAAAAACUCCGGUGGUAUGAGAUGGACCCGCGUCUGAUUAGGUAGUUGGUGGGGUAACGGCCUACCAAGCCGACGAUCAGUAGCCGACCUGAGAGGGUGACCGGCCACAUUGGGACUGAGACACGGCCCAAACUCCUACGGGAGGCAGCAGUGGGGAAUAUUGCACAAUGGGGGAAACCCUGAUGCAGCGACGCCGCGUGAGCGAUGAAGUAUUUCGGUAUGUAAAGCUCUAUCAGCAGGGAAGAAAAUGACGGUACCUGACUAAGAAGCACCGGCUAAAUACGUGCCAGCCGCCGCCGUAA
RNAcentral lists this ribosomal RNA (495 nucleotides) under uncultured bacterium. Its description in RNAcentral is "partial 16S ribosomal RNA". It matches the Rfam family "Bacterial small subunit ribosomal RNA", at positions 28 to 523 of the family's 1533-position model. The record is from RNAcentral.